RNAcentral lists this ribosomal RNA (216 nucleotides) under Glomeromycotina sp. Its description in RNAcentral is "partial small subunit ribosomal RNA". The stretch from base 44 to 216 matches the Rfam family "Eukaryotic small subunit ribosomal RNA", at positions 690 to 864 of the family's 1831-position model. Lineage: Eukaryota; Fungi; Glomeromycota. The record is from RNAcentral.
GGGUCGGUAGGUUGGUCGUGCCACCGGUACGUACUGGUCUCACUGAUUCCUCCUUCCUGAAGAACCGUAAUGCCAUUAAUUUGGUGUUGCGGGGAAACAGGACUGUUACUUUGAAACAAUUAGAGUGUUUAAAGCAAGCUAACGCUUGAAUACAUUAGCACGGAAUAAUGAAAUAGGACGAUCGAUCCUAUUUUGUUGGUUUCUAGGAUUGACGUA